CAAUAGCGUAUAUUUAAGUUGUUGCAGUUAAAAAGCUCGUAGUCGGAUUUUGGCUGAGAACGAUCGGUCCGCCGUUAGGUGUGCACUGAUUGGUCUCAGCUUCCUGGUGAGGAGGUGUGCUUCACGGCCACUUAGUCACCGUGGUUACUUUGAAAAAAUUAGAGUGUUCAGAGCGGGCUUACGCUUGAAUAUAUUAGCAUGGAAUAACACCAUAGGACUCCUGUCCUAUUUCGUUGGUCUCGGGACGGGAGUAAUGAUUAAGAGGAACAGUUGGGGGCAUUCGUAUUUCAUUGUCAGAGGUGAAAUUCUUGGAUUUAUGAAAGACGAACUUCUGCGAAAGCAUUUGCCAAGGAUGUUUUCAUUGA
This 365-nucleotide ribosomal RNA is filed under the name uncultured eukaryote. RNAcentral's name for it is "partial 18S ribosomal RNA". It matches the Rfam family "Eukaryotic small subunit ribosomal RNA", at positions 592 to 976 of the family's 1831-position model. The record is from RNAcentral.